ACAUAUUUUUGUGGCAAAUAUAUGAAUUUAUUAUGACUCAACUGCAUGACAUGCAGUUUGAGCUAGUGUACAACUUACUAAGCAUCUUCUAAGUCAGUUAUAAUAUACAUGAAGAUAUUUAAGAGUUCGAUGUUCAAUAGAACUUCAGAACAUGGCUUGUGUGCAUGCUAUUCUCAUGGAGCUCUCUGGAAGGCAUGUAUAGGUUGUUUCUUUGCACAUAUAUAACGUGAGAGAGACGAAUUGUUAAUUCUGAUUUUUUGUUCAUAUGUUCAGAAACAUAUACAAAUCAACUGCUAAUUGUGCUGAAACUUCUAUUUGAUAUUAAACAGAGUGCUGGUGGAUAUUUAUUAUGCUUGGAAGGGCUCAGUCUAUUCCCUUGGCUACAAUUCAAUAUGACAAAGAGGACUCAUUAGGAUAAUUUUAUGUCUACUUGGUGGCUUAAUUAUGCAGAUGAGGACCAGGAUGAAGUCAUCUUCAAGUAGUUGAAUGAGAUGUGGACAUGUAUAGCAACUAGUGUAUACAUAUAUGACUCAUAUUGCAACUCUACCUUUAUGAUUAUAAAUUAAGCUCAACACUACAAACUUAUUACUUAUGUCUUUAUAAUUGUAAUACACAUGUGUUUGUUUUCUCGGUUUCACAGGAGGAAUGGUAGAUAAACAUAAUUUUUAUGACAAAUAUGUGACUUGGUGACUCAACUGUAUGAUUAGUUUGGGCUUACAAAUCACUUGGUUUUGAAUUUCAACUGUGCGUGAGUAGAGCUGAAACUUUCCUUAUUUCUGGAGUUGAAUCGAUUUCCUUCUUAAGUUGCUUAUUUUUUCUGCACAGUUAAUGAGCAGGAGUUUUUGUUUUCAGGAGUUAGUAUACCAAGCAAGUCUUUGAUGAAGCUUGGGGUAUAUCGUCUGGUGGUGCAGCUGCAUAGAAGGGCGAAAGUUUGAAUUACAAUUAGAGCAGCAAAGGAAUGAGAUGUGAAGUUGCAGGACUUGAAUUAAUUUGUCGAUACGCAAUUGCUUUGGUACGUUGCAACUGAUGAAAAUGAAUCCUAUGCUCAAAUGUGUCAUGAUCAAAACCAGCACUGAUUCUAGCUCACAGCAGAACUGAUGAAAAGAGGAUUGAACUGCAGCGUUGAUGCUUAUUUGACCUUGAUUGCAUGCUGAGGAGAACAACAUCAGUUUCCUCCCCAUGAGUUUGAAGUGCAGUGUCCAAACUGGUGGUGUAAAUAAUGGAAGCAUGUAUUUGAAAUAUAAACAUUUUCCAGCUAAACAAACCUUUAUUGAAGAGAUGCUGUUAAGCAUUAAUUGCUCAUAGUAUCUCUAUAUUGAUGGAGCUUUCUAUCUUCUCUAUGUUUUUA
Dioscorea cayenensis subsp. rotundata (Guinea yam) is the source of this 1348-nucleotide long non-coding RNA. RefSeq lists it as uncharacterized. The record is from RefSeq and is a predicted model, not a curated record. The transcript is spliced from 3 exons. NCBI's taxonomy places the organism in Eukaryota, Viridiplantae, Streptophyta, Magnoliopsida, Dioscoreales, Dioscoreaceae.